Molecule: transfer RNA, 74 nt
Filed under: Myxococcales bacterium
Lineage: Bacteria; Pseudomonadati; Myxococcota; Myxococcia; Myxococcales
Description: tRNA-Arg
Rfam family: tRNA
About the family: Transfer RNA (tRNA) molecules are approximately 80 nucleotides in length. Their secondary structure includes four short double-helical elements and three loops (D, anti-codon, and T loops). Further hydrogen bonds mediate the characteristic L-shaped molecular structure. tRNAs have two regions of fundamental functional importance: the anti-codon, which is responsible for specific mRNA codon recognition, and the 3' end, to which the tRNAs corresponding amino acid is attached (by aminoacyl-tRNA synthetases). tRNAs cope with the degeneracy of the genetic code in two manners: having more than one tRNA (with a specific anti-codon) for a particular amino acid; and 'wobble' base-pairing, i.e. permitting non-standard base-pairing at the 3rd anti-codon position.
Source: RNAcentral
GCGCCCGUAGCUCAAUUGGAUAGAGCAUCGGACUUCGGUUCCGAGGGUUGGGAGUUCGAGUCUCUCCGGGCGCG